GGGCAAAGGCCUGAAACUCUACGUCUACAACACAGACACGGACAACUGCAGAGAAGUGGUCAUCACGGCCAACGGUUCCUGGGGUGGAGAGGGCAGUCUUGGCUGUGGUAUCGGCUACGGUUACCUGCACAGAAUCCCUACUCGGCCCUUCGAAGAGGGCAAGAAAAUCAGCUUCCCCGGACACACCCCCAGUGAGCCCGCCAGCCCGCUGAAGGACGGCUUCACAGAGGUUCAGCUAUCUGCAGUAACUCCGCCCCCUGUGUCGCAGCCUGUUCCCACAGGG
Molecule: long non-coding RNA, 283 nt
Organism: Sinocyclocheilus anshuiensis
Lineage: Eukaryota; Metazoa; Chordata; Actinopteri; Cypriniformes; Cyprinidae
Exons: 3
Source: RefSeq, a predicted model, not a curated record